RNAcentral lists this ribosomal RNA (305 nucleotides) under uncultured bacterium. RNAcentral describes it as "partial 16S ribosomal RNA". It matches the Rfam family "Bacterial small subunit ribosomal RNA", at positions 508 to 809 of the family's 1533-position model. The record is from RNAcentral.
ACAGCAGCCGCCGCGGGAAUACGGAGGGGGCUAGCGUUGUUCGGAAUUACUGGGCGUAAAGCGCACGUAGGCGGCUUGGUAGGUUAGAGGUGAAAGCCCGGAGCUCAACUCCGGAAUUGCCUUUAAGACUGCCGAGCUAGCAGGUGAGAGAGGUAAGUGGAAUUCCGAGUGUAGAGGUGAAAUUCGUAGAUAUUCGGAAGAACACCAGUGGCGAAGGCGGCUUACUGGCUCAUACUGGACGCUGAGGUGCGAAAGCGUGGGGAGCAAACAGGAUUAGAUACCCCGGUAGUCCCUGUCUCUUAUAA